Molecule: long non-coding RNA, 707 nt
Organism: Amphimedon queenslandica
Lineage: Eukaryota; Metazoa; Porifera; Demospongiae; Haplosclerida; Niphatidae
Exons: 6
Source: RefSeq, a predicted model, not a curated record
AUAUGGUACUCAUGAUAAUGAGUUGCAUCAGUUACAUCAAACAUUUCAAUCAAUUGUAGUCCAUCUACUCAGUGACAAUGAUUCAAAUGUUAAGAGGGCAUUCCUAACCCACAGUGCUGAGAAGUUGUGCACUUUCUUUGGAGCUCAAAAAGGUAAGACUAUCACUUAAAAAUAAGUAUGACAAUCUACAAAAAUUUUGCCCUUCAAUCCCCAGCUAAAGAUGUUAUACUAUCUCAUAUGAUCACAUUUUUGAGUGACAAAGUAAUUGGGAGCUCCAUAUAGCAUUUUUUGAGGCAAUUAUUGAUGUGGUUAGUCAAAUUGGUGAGAGAAGUUUAGACGUUCUUGAGGCUUUAUUGCAACAGGGUUUAAGUGAUCCAGAAGAGGCAGUGAUAUGUGAAGCUAUCUCCUCCAUGACAGUAUUGUGUAUCAAUGGGCUCUUUAACUUAAGAUUCCUCAUAUCAUCACUACAACAAAUAGUACCUUUCAUAGCUCACCCUAAUAUUUGGGCCAGAUAUGGUUCAGUUGGUUUCAUAAUGGCAGCUGCUAGUCAGUUGGAUGAUAUUGAUGCUCUGUGUUACAUUGCUCCAGUAGUGCAGCCAUUCCUUAAGUAUAACAACAUACUAGAACUGGAUAAUAAGUUGGUAUUAUUAAAUGCUAUUAGUGAUCCAAUACCACGCAGUGUCUUAGACUAUGUCAUGAAGCAACAA